UUCAUUCAAAAACUUCAUUUCAUUUGAAAGAACACAAAAUACAUUAAGUUCAAGUCAUUAAUCACUUGACAAACACAAAAUACAUUACAAACUACCCAUAUCAAAAACUACUCAAACUACUAAACCCAAUCUAUGGCCUCUGAAACCAAACCAUAUGCAACAUUUGCAUGACAAAUACACCAAUUAUAAGUGUUCUAAACAUCUUUAUUUUAUAAGUCAUAUUAUCAAGUUUGGUAUUAACUCCAACCUUGAACGCUCCAUCUAAUUUCUGGUGCCUCUCAAUCUCUCUUCCUUGAUAGAUCUCACCAUCUCUUCCUUGAUCUAAUACAUGUGUUGAAAGUACUUCAUCAUUUCAAGUGCUUGAAUCAACUCCUCAACUCAUACAAAGUAUCCAUGAUAAUCAUAUUCAUCCUCCAAAAAAAAAUUAAUUUCAAAUCUGAAAUUUUAUGUGAUAAAUAAACUCUAAUAUCCAACUCAUUUUAUCAUAAUCCCUAUAAACCAUAAUCCCAAAUUUUCCAGAAUUGAUUUUGGGCAUUUAAUAUAAAAUCUUCAAUCUAUAUUACCUUGUUGAUUAAUCAUGUGUAGAAUGGUCUACCUCUUUUAAUUGACUUUUCAUCAUUAUAAUCUUUGUUGUGAUGAUUGAGUUUGAUGUGAUGAUUAACAAAAAAAUAAGAAUAAUUUAGGGAAGAAAUUAAGGGUUAGGUCAAAGAAGAUGAAGAAGAUGAGAAUGAUAAGAAGAGUGAUGGUGGUGGGGGAGACAAAGGUGAAAAUUGAUGGUGGUGGUGGUUGGAUUUGAUGAAGGGAGAGCAAAUGAGAGAAAAUGUAACUGAAGGGAGAUGAAAAGAGAAAGGAGAAAACCUAUAUGAAAAAGAGGAAAACACAAA
Molecule: long non-coding RNA, 884 nt
Filed under: Cicer arietinum (chickpea)
Lineage: Eukaryota; Viridiplantae; Streptophyta; Magnoliopsida; Fabales; Fabaceae
Description: long non-coding RNA (CARI_LNC003095)
Source: RNAcentral